CGAACGCUGGCGGCGUGCCUAACACAUGCAAGUCGAACGAGAACGCGGGCUUCGGCCCGUUAGUAGAGUGGCAUACGGGUGAGUAACACGUGGGCAAUCUGCCCGAAGGUGGGGGAUAACUCUCGGAAACGGGGGCUAAUACCGCAUGAUAUCUCGAGGACUCCGGUCCUUGCGAUCAAAGCUAGCCUCUUCUUGAAAGCUAGCGCCAUCGGAGGAGCUCGCGGCCCAUUAGUUUGUUGGUGAGGUAACGGCUCACCAAGACUACGAUGGGUAGCCGGCCUGAGAGGGCGAUCGGCCACACUGGAACUGAGACACGGUCCAGACUCCUACGGGAGGCAGCAGUGAGGAAUAUUGCGCAAUGGGGGAAACCCUGACGCAGCGACGCCGCGUGGAGGACGAAGGCCUUCGGGUCGUAAACUCCUGUCAAGAGGGACGAAUGUCAUGGGGAUGAAUAAGCCUCAUGUUUGACGGUACCUCUGGAGGAAGCCCCGGCUAACUCC
Molecule: ribosomal RNA, 500 nt
Filed under: uncultured bacterium
Lineage: Bacteria
Description: bacterial SSU rRNA
Rfam family: Bacterial small subunit ribosomal RNA
Source: RNAcentral